Molecule: ribosomal RNA, 164 nt
Filed under: Musa ABB Group
Lineage: Eukaryota; Viridiplantae; Streptophyta; Magnoliopsida; Zingiberales; Musaceae
Description: 5.8S ribosomal RNA
Rfam family: 5.8S ribosomal RNA
About the family: 5.8S ribosomal RNA (5.8S rRNA) is a component of the large subunit of the eukaryotic ribosome. It is transcribed by RNA polymerase I as part of the 45S precursor that also contains 18S and 28S rRNA.
Source: RNAcentral
UGGAUGACUCUCGGCAACGGAUAUCUCGGCUCUCGCAUCUAUGAAAAACGUAGCGAAAUGCGAUACCUGGUGUGAAUUGCAAAAUCCCGUGAAACAUCGAGUCUUUGAACGCAAGUUGCGCCCGAGGCCAUCCGGCUAAGGGCACGCCUGCCUGGGCGUCACGC